Molecule: long non-coding RNA, 1441 nt
Filed under: Carica papaya (papaya)
Lineage: Eukaryota; Viridiplantae; Streptophyta; Magnoliopsida; Brassicales; Caricaceae
Description: long non-coding RNA (CPAP_LNC004267)
Source: RNAcentral
CCCUAGGUGCUUCAUAUGCACACAUUAUACUCGAACUCCCUACUCAUGAAUUCGUCAAAAACUAACCAUUCUCUACGCAGUAUAAUCAUCAAGUCUAUAUAACGAAAUCUUUACAACUCGUUUUACAAUUCAACCAUAUCAAUGUAGCAAAUGAAAAAGAACCAAAAAAAAUUUAUAUUUACUACAAAGACAUAAAAUGAAUGAAUAUUUCGUAUAAUUUAACAUACAUCCAGCUUCCUGUUAAUUCACUUCUCCUAAGUAUGGUUCCACUGGCUGGGGUUUUGAUUAUGUCUUAUGUCCUACUGCAUAUAUAAAUGACAUACAAUGAGCAUACUCUAACCCAGUAAAAUAAAUUCAAGACUCAAAUAAAGUAUGGAAAUACAUUUAAACUUCUAGCCCAGUGCUAAGUCUACACCUACAUCCUAAUGUCUCUCUCGUCAUUUUCUCUUUUUGUAACCCUAUUUUAUCACUCAUUGGUUUACUCUACAACCAACCCGAGCCCUUGUCAAUAUUACUACCACUUGCCAACCCACUCAUCCAUACACUUACUGGACACCUAUUGCACUUACCAACUCCCUACACCAACUCCUUCAUCAUUCCACACACUAAGAAAACCCUUAAUAUCUCAUUUUACCUAAAAAUCUCACACCACAAAGAGCAUUCCUAUAAUGGCAUAGUCAAAAUAGAAACAUAAUAUCUUUGUUGCACACAUAAGGACCUUUAUUUGGCCAUAUAUACACCUACUCUAGUCCUAGCCAUUUUCAACCCUAUGCCACCCACCCAUAUAUACCUCAAAUAACAAUACUGCCCCCAACUAUCACACGCUCCUUUAGCACUACCGGCCUUAACUUUGUCACACACUCACCAACCUUAAUCCAGCCACACACAUAACCCGACCUUAACCAACCACACACACACACUCAUCGGCCUUAAUCAGCCACAUACACACCCUCGUCAGCCUUAAUUUCUACCACACACACUCACCGACUUCAAUCAGCCACACACACACCAGCAGUAUACAUACACUACCCAACUCCAACAAAACAUCACCAUAAAAUACACAAUACACACACAUCUACCAUCCUCAGCUCGGCCACAUACACAAUCAGCCAAUAACAUUAGUAUCGGCGCCACAACCUCCUAUCUGUCAUCACCAAUAUCAGCACACCAACAUUCACCUCCACCGGUACCAAUAUCGGCACCUCAGAGUGUCCAACCAGUAAAAUUGCCCAAAUUCCGCUAUACAACUCAACCUAAAUCCAUUUCGGUCGAUUCCCUUCCUUCUCUCUCACUUCCACUCGGUUCACUCACCAUUCCUCAUAUCUCUACUUCCUAACAACUUGAAAUCCUCCAUUAAGCAACCUGAACAGAAAUUCAAACCAUGUCACCAUAACAAUGUUGGAGCAUUCGAAUUUAUUUACCUCUAGCCUCCAUCUUCUCC